GGGAAACUGCCUGAUGGAGGGGGAUAACUACUGGAAACGGUAGCUAAUACCGCAUAACGUCGCAAGACCAAAGAGGGGGACCUUCGGGCCUCUUGCCAUCAGAUGUGCCCAGAUGGGAUUAGCUAGUAGGUGGGGUAACGGCUCACCUAGGCGACGAUCCCUAGCUGGUCUGAGAGGAUGACCAGCCACACUGGAACUGAGACACGGUCCGGACUCCUACGGGAGGCAGCAGUGGGGAAUAUUGCACAAUGGGCGCAAGCCUGAUGCAGCCAUGCCGCGUGUAUGAAGAAGGCCUUCGGGUUGUAAAGUACUUUCAGCGGGGAGGAAGGUGUUGCGGUUAAUAACCGCAGCAAUUGACGUUACCCGCAGAAGAAGCACCGGCUAACUCCGUGCCAGCAGCCGCGGUAAUACGGAGGGUGCAAGCGUUAAUCGGAAUUACUGGGCGUAAAGCGCACGCAGGCGGUCUGUCAAGUCGGAUGUGAAAUCCCCGGGCUCAACCUGGGAACUGCAUUCGAAACUGGCAGGCUAGAGUCUUGUAGAGGGGGGUAGAAUUCCAGGU
Molecule: ribosomal RNA, 559 nt
Filed under: uncultured bacterium
Lineage: Bacteria
Description: bacterial SSU rRNA
Rfam family: Bacterial small subunit ribosomal RNA
Source: RNAcentral